Molecule: ribosomal RNA, 1446 nt
Filed under: Triticum aestivum (bread wheat)
Lineage: Eukaryota; Viridiplantae; Streptophyta; Magnoliopsida; Poales; Poaceae
Description: partial small subunit ribosomal RNA
Source: RNAcentral
AUGAAUCAAGAAAUCCUAAUGACCAAGCAAUCAUCACCGACACAGAGUCAGGAAGAACAAGAACAUCCUCAACUGCAUGCCACCGUCGCGCAACAAGGCGGUGGCUCGACACCGUCCGAGUCCAACCACCAGCGCAGGAUCACCAUGAUUCCGCUCGUGUUCCUGAUCUAUUUCGAGGUGGCAGGCGGCCCGUACGGCUCCGAGCAGGCAGUCCGCGCCGCCGGGCCGCUGUUCACUCUACUGGGCUUCCUCGUGUUCCCCUUGGCGUGUGGCGUCCCGGAAUCGCUUGUCACCGCCGAGCUCACCGCCGCGUUCCCGGGGAACGGCGGCUUCGUCCUCUGGGCAGACCACGCCUUCGGCCCGCUGGCAGGCUCGCUCCUCGGCACGUGGAGGUACCUCAGCAUCGUCAUCAACAUCGCCGCCUACCCGGCUCUCGUGGCUGACUAUCUUGGUGGCGUGGUGCCGGCAGUCGCGAGACCCGGCAGGGCGCACAUGGGCACGGUGGUCGGCAUGACGCUUCUCCUCUCCUUGCUGAACUAUGCCGGCCUGAGCGUCGUCGGGUGGGGCGCGACAGCACUGGGGAUAGCCUCCCUGGCCCCGUUCGUGCUGAUGACGGCCAUGGCUGUGCCCAAGGUACGCCCGCGUCGGUGGGCGAAGCAGGUGAAGGGGAGGAAGAAAGACUGGAGGCUGUUCUUCAACACGCUGUUCUGGAACCUCAACUACUGGGACAGCGCGAGCACCAUGGCCGGCGAGGUGGAGCGGCCGGAGCGGACGUUCCCGCGGGCACUUGCAGCAGCGGUCGUUCUGAUUGCCGCCAGUUACCUGCUGCCGCUCAUGGCCGCAACCGGCGCCACGGACGCGUCGCCGGAUGCAUGGGUGAACGGCUACUUGGCUACCGCCGCAGGCAUCAUCGGGGGACCAUGGCUCAAGUACUGGACCGGUGCAGGCGCAGUAAUCUCCUCCAUUGGCAUGUUUGAGGCCCAAAUGAGCAGUGGCGCGUUCCAGCUCCAUGGUAUGGCGGACCGAGGCCUCCUCCCGUCCGUCUUCGGCAGUCGUGCCGCUCGCACCGGCACCCCAUGGGUUGCAAUCACUGCAUCAACCGCUAUCACCAUCGCCGUCUCCUUCCUCGGUUUCGACAACAUCGUCGCAACAUCAAAUUUCCUAUAUAGCCUGGGAACACUACUCGAGUUCUCCUCCAUCCUCUGGCUCCGAGUCAAGUACCCAACACUGAAGCGCCCAUACCAUGUGCCUCUGCCACUGCCCGCGCUCAUAGCCAUGUGCAUUGUGCCAUCGGUAUUCCUAUCUUACGUGUGUGUGGUUGCUGGGUGGAGGGUAUUCACCAUUGCUGCAGGGCUGACCGCGCUCGGUGUCGGGUGGCACGGCCUCAUGAAGCUGUGCAUAUCCAAGAAGUUGCUCAGUUUUCGCGUGCCUGAAUCAUCAUGUUGA